GGAAGUGGCACGUGCAGCGCUCUACGGUGGCUGAGGGAGGGCUGCUGCUCUCUGAGCUCUAAAUCCAGCAGUGCCCGGGAAGCUGCAGCGACAGUGGCUUCUGUAGUUGGAGCCUCGAGAAGGAGCAGUUCCGGGAGACGGUUGUAGCUAAGAAAAUGUAAGAGGCAGCCUGCUGCUGAGGCUGGGGUCCCGGGUCCCAGAGGGUUCCAGGGACUACAGAGGAGGCACCAUCCCAACUCUCCACCUUCACUGAGCAGGAGCACCAGAUGAAAAAAAUAGAGAAACUCACCGUCUGGCUAAAUAAUAUGACCUGUGAAAGAAAUGAGCUGUGUGAAAUCCUCGCCAAUUACACAAACAAGGAUUUGAAAAACAGGUAGUCAUUAUGCCCAGUUCUCUGCUAAUCAUCUUAAUACCACAGUAUCAAGCCCAGGUUUCCUGAGGAACAGGAGACUGUACAUCCAGGGUGUCCUGGUGCCUAAACUAAACUUCCUGAGUGCAUUCAAGAUGCAGAACUUGGACCCUGGGUAGGAGUGCGAUGGGGACACAGGCUGUUCUGUUUCCUAUAAAUGAAAAGCAGAGCCUGUGGCCUGAACCAGAGUCUGAGGACAGGGACAGUAGUGUGUGAGCUCUCAACAUGCAUUUCAAGAUGCCUUGACAAGUGUUGGCUUGUGGGAGAUGCUAGGUCCUGUUAGUUUGUUGUGAGUCUUUGUACUUGACCAGCGGAUGAUUGUGUCUGAAAGCUCAAAACCACUCCAUAGGGAGUUUAUCUUCUCGUUGGCAAAAAAAAAAAAAAAAAAAAAAAGUCAUUUGGGCAAGAAACUGUUCUUGUCUAGAAUGCUUGAUCAAGUGGACAUGCAGGACCCAUAGGAAGGUGGCCACUGAACUUUGCUUGGUGAAAUGGUCCUUCAGGUUCCUGCUUACCAGAGGAAACUGCCAGACAUUCUACAGGACACAGAGAGAAAUGAUUGGGAGACUCUAGGCGUGUGGGCUGAAGACAGAUGCCUCAACUUUACAAAGGAACAUUAGAGGCAAGAGAGCCUGGAUGAAAGACUAAAGGACCUGUUGAAGCAGGAGGAGCUGGUACCCAGCAAAAGGACAUGGCAGAAAAGAUGCAACAUCACUUCAACGUCUCUGAGAUAAGGAUCUCCUAGAUGGUCUACAUUCAAUUUCCCAGGCUGCUCACAUUCACCUGGUAUCUAAUCAAGGCCAUGCAUUUUCUGACAGUUUAAUGUCGAUGGCUUUGGUAAGCUGACUGAGCACUCAGCCCUCUCUAGGUGGAGGGAAAUCUGUCAUGGAAGACUGUUGAUGUCAAGCUGUUCCUGACAGACUACACCAAAAACCAUAAUUUUCAUUCUCCAGGCCAGUGUUGAAGCUGACUCCAUGUCCUGCACAAGUGUUCCUGAAGACAAUGCACCACAGAGAUCUUCACUGUCCCUCAUUCCCCGGGUUAGUCACUUUUUCCUGCAUAUUUAAAAUCAGUGGGUAUGUCUCCAUUUCUCAGCCUCAACUGAAUUGCCUGGUCCUGAAAAAGGAUUUAUAGAAGACAUCUGAGUCAUCUUUGAUGUUUUUUGGUAUGCAGAUGCUGCCCACAUAUUUGUGGAGUCUCUAAUAAGUGCACAAGUGUCUGUAUGCUGAAAGAAUCAAAUAGUGACCAAGACAUUACAGGAUCAGCAGUGGGUGAUAAUUUAUCAAAAGCUUCCCAGAGGGACACAAAGAAUGCUCUAGAAAAUCUCUCAUUCUUAGUCUGAGUAAGGGCUUGGCCUACAAAGCCUGCAGGAGGCAUGGCUACAGUAGCUUUGAAAAAGGCUUUCACAUUCACUGACUGCCUUCCUACCAUGUUUCCAAGGCCAGCCACAGGCUGUAGGUCUGUGCUGCUAAAAGUGCAGCAAGAGAAUGCUGCUGACCUUAAUUGUUUUGUUUUUUUUUGGUUGGGUUUUGUUUCCUUUGGGUUUUUUUGUUAUAGAUUGAGAUUUUGAUAUUUAUUUUUUCUUUCUUUUGAUCUUGUAGUUUUUUGGGUAUUUUGAUAAGGCUGUUUACUGUUUAUAUUGACUUCUCCCUUUAAGCCCCUAUUGAGUAAUAUUACUGUGUUUUUAUUAAUAAUAAAGUGAUUUUGAACUUU
Molecule: long non-coding RNA, 2119 nt
Organism: Peromyscus californicus insignis
Lineage: Eukaryota; Metazoa; Chordata; Mammalia; Rodentia; Cricetidae
Exons: 4
Source: RefSeq, a predicted model, not a curated record